AGGGUUCGAUUCUGGCUCAGGAUGAACGCUGGCGGCGUGCCUAACACAUGCAAGUCGAACGGAGAACACGUUUCGGAUGUGUUCUUAGUGGCGAACGGGUGAGUAACGCGUGAGUAACCUGCCUCGAAGUGGGGGACAACAGUUGGAAACGACUGCUAAUACCGCAUAACAUAUUCGGAGGGCAUCCUCUGAAUAUCAAAGAUUUAUUGCUUUGAGAUGGACUCGCGUCUGAUUAGAUAGUUGGUGAGGUAACGGCCCACCAAGUCUGCGAUCAGUAGCCGGACUGAGAGGUCGAACGGCCACAUUGGGACUGAGAUACGGCCCAGACUCCUACGGGAGGCAGCAGUGGGGAAUAUUUGGGCAAUGGGGGAAACCCUGACCCAGCAACGCCGCGUGAAGGAAGAAGGCCUUCGGGUUGUAAACUUCUUUUGUCAGGGACGAAAUUUGACGGUACCUGACGAAUAAGCUACGGCUAACUACGUGCCAGCCGCCGC
Molecule: ribosomal RNA, 494 nt
Filed under: uncultured bacterium
Lineage: Bacteria
Description: bacterial SSU rRNA
Rfam family: Bacterial small subunit ribosomal RNA
Source: RNAcentral